GCAGGGGUGAGGGAUCUCACCAAAUGAAAGGAAUUACUUGGAAAAAAAAUAGAUCAGUGGGGCCUAGCUAAUGGCCAAUUGUUUUCUGUGCGAGAGCUUUGUAUCAACGAACCAAUCCGUGCCCUGAUCUGCCUUAAACAAAACAUGAAAUCCCAAUGACUGGAACAGAUACCUGGUAUGUCAGUUAAUUCUUAAUUAUCAUUCUACCCCCUGUUAAUAUGAGUGGACCGGCUCCUCAACAGGCAAUGGGGGGUUGAGGUAUUUUUUAAGGAUUAUUUCAAUUACCUGUCUUAAAUUCACAUUCAGAUCAGAAAUUGAAACUUUUUGAAAACAGGUAAACUUUUUAGAAUUAAAUAAUUUUUUGCGUGUUUGCUUCUGAGCCAAUUAGGUCAUUUGGGUGCCAUGUGCCCUCAGUUUUAACCCUACAUGUUUUCCUUGCAGGGCUGUCACUAGGGGCACCUCCAUGAAAUAGUAGAGUACUGCAAAUUUAGUCAGAUGGUUUUAGAGAGCAGUUUGACGUUUUUGCCGUGCAUGUGUAGUAGCCUAUGGAAACACAUUGGAUUGACUGAGAUCAUCAAUGUUGAUCAAUAAUGACAAUUAGCAAAAAGAAUUGUAGCAUUCUGGGUGCAUUGGUUUGAAAAAACCCAGCGCAACCUUAUAUGUAUUGUAGAGCACAACCGAAUGAUAACGAAUAAUAUUACACAAGGGUCCCCUAUAUAUUACGGAGACUUAGGAAUUGCAAUGAAAAGUCCUGUAAUAGGAUUCAUGCAUUUUUUAGAGAGUAUUAAAAAUCUCACAUCUAUCUGAAUUCUAUGCUAUAUUAUGGAGAUGCACAAUUUGCAAGGCUCGUUUGAUAAAUUACUUCUAUAUGGUAAGACGAGAUUGGUUACCUUAGAGAAACUACUGAGGAGGGCUGUACAAGAAAUGAUGUGGUUGCUGACUGACUGUCUCCCUGAGGUCAGUGCAAUACCAAAGUAUUCCUUGAUGAUCUGACACAGGUUCAGAGACAGGGAACGUUUGUCCCUGCAGAGCUCUAGUCUUACCCCCGAUUUUAGGAACAUAGGAACAGAUCAGAAACCCAGGCCACUUUGAUGAUGGUGGAUAAACAAAAAAUAGAUGAAGAAUUCUUGUCACUUCGGGAAUGCCAUUUAAAGGAUGACUAUAGGGUCCCCCCGACCACUUCAGCUCAAUGAAGUGGUCUGGGUGUCAGGUCCAUCUAGGGUUAACCCUGCAGCUGUAGGAGAGUCCCCAGCACUGAGGGAGCCCGGUGCUGGAGAAAGGUAAGUGUUUAACCCCUUGAUCUAGAUCAUUGCUGGAACUUCCUUGAAGCCUAGUUGGGACUGUACCAUGAGUGCCAAAACAUUAUGGUUUAGUAGUGUCUACAGUUUGGUCAUCUCCUGGAUCUACAGUGAGGAAGAAGGGAUCUGUUCUGUUGGCUGCACAGAUCUGUCUUCUUUCUCAUUAAAAAACUGCAGAAAUGGCUGCAAUGAAUGGCAGGGAGCCAAGAUGGAGGAACUAAAUUCCAGGAAAAAAAAAACCAAAUACAGCAAAAAAAUAUUUACAUUUUUUAGAUCUCACAAAAACAUUUUAAAGAUUGACAAAGGUAAACAUAAUGUUAAACAUCCCAGUAUGGGACUAUUUCCCUUUAACAAGCCCUGUAUUAUGUGGAAUUUAGACGUGUGCAAUUUGUUUCGUUCCGAAUGCAAAUUCUGACAAAUUCCAGAAAUUCGGACGCUUCCGAAUGUCUGAAGUGCUGAAUUUCGGAAUGCCGAUCCGAACCAAAUUUAUGAAUUUCGGAAUGCUGAACCGAAUUGCUGAAGUGCCGAAUAGCCGAAAGUGCUGAAUUGCUUCAGAUUUCUAAAAAGUGGCAAAAGAGGAGAGGGUUGGGGUUUGUGGUUGGGGUAGAGGUAGGGGUAGGGUUAAGUUUAGGGGUAGGGUUAAGGGUUGUGGCAGAGUUAGUGGUUGGGAUAGGGGUAAGGUUAGUGGUUGGAGUAGGGUGAGGGUAGGGGAAGGGUAACCCUAUUCCUAACCCUACUCCUAACCCUAACCCUGCUCCUAACCCUACCAUAACCCAACCUUAAACCAACCCUAACCCUACCCCAACCCCACCCCUAAACCAACCCUAACCUCACCCCUAACCCUACACUUACCCGAAGUGCCGAACCGAAGUGCAGAAGUCCCGAAGUGCUGAAGUCCAGAAUUUCGCAAUGCCGAACCGAACCGAAUAUUUUUCUCAUGUACAUCCCUAGUGGAAUUAACCAUUUAAUCCUUUUCUUUCAUCCAACCACCAGAAGGAGCAGGGAGAAGGAGCUUUCUCCUCCCUAUUCACUUAACUUUUAAUGGGACACUCUAGGCACUAUAACCACAUCAUCUCAUUGAAGUGGUCCCCUGGCUCCGUCACAUUGUGCAGAAAAAACUUUUUUUUAAAUUCUUUAUUUUUGCUGUGCAAAAGGGUUACAAAGAAUCUUGCAAUGCCACAACAGCAAGCACAAGAAAAUCAAUUAAUAGAGGAAUACAACAUACAUCAAACCAUAGACAUAAUAGAUCUGAAUGUUACUUGGCAUUGUGAUAGUGCAGCACAUAUUUUUGGUAAUGUAAACAUUAGGCUAGGUAGACAUGUCUAGGAAACAUAGCCAUAUCUAAGUAAAAAAUCACGAAUAACAGUCUAGACAAGGUGUUUACUAAGCACUUUUAAAUGUGUGAAGGAAAUGCUUGGUCAACUAUGCUUAUUAGAAAACAAGUGAAUAUAUCAUGCUAGCAGUAUAUAACUAGCUUAAUCACAGUACCCUGGAUGUGUAAGGAGUCUCCCUAGGUCAUUCGGCCUAUGCCACUUAGAGUCUAAAUUAGAUAGGACAACUCGGUACCGGACUCUGCUUCCAUCCCCUGCACCUUCCUCAUUCGGCCCAGGAAAAGGAGAGGACUGUGACGAUCCACCAGUGCUGUGUAUCUGGCAGCAUAUGGGGGAAAGCUCCGGUUCAGACCGGUCUCUCUGAGGGCGAGGGGGGCCAGAUCUCCGCAGUCGAUGUGAGUGCUGAUCUGGCAUGUGUAGGUGCUUUCCUCCCUUCUCCUCAGCUCUCCGUUUGUCUCCCGUGUGUGCACAGGAGCUGUAUAGCUGUGUAGCUUUCCAGCUCACCGCUUACCUGCUCGUUGCCUGUCUUGUUUUGCGGUGCGUGGAUGCAGCCUCCGCCAUCUCAGGUGUAGCGGGCCUCUGGCGAGUGCUGCUGGGCUGCUUGAUGUGUGACAGGCUGGUUGUGUGGGAGUCAUCACGGUCCUGUGUAUUAACUGCUUCGCCUUUAGCUUCUUCCAUAACGAAGAGGACGCUGGAGAGUAGUGGUCAUCACUCCUCCCUGGGUGAGGAUAUCUGCAGCGUCCGCCAUCUUAGGGAUACCUUUGAUGGUAGUGUUGGCUUCUGAAGUACUGCUGCUACGCGGUGGGUCAUGAGAGCCUUUUUGUUACUUUGGCUACUAGAUUGCUUGAGAGUGCUGUAGGGCAUAUUCCCCGAUCUCUCUGUCAUGUCGAAAGACUAAGAGUAAGUAUCAUGUUUAGAAAUAGUUGCUGAAUUAGGUCAGAAAUUCAGUGUGUCUCAGGGAGCUCCCCAGAAACACGUUUAGUCGCCAUGCUGGUCAGGCCCCGCCCCGGAGAAAACUAUUUUUUGAUAAUUUUGACACUAAAAGAGUUUCCAGGUUGCCAGAGUUCUGGCCAUCUCUGCUAUGAUGGGUGGUGAUGAUAGAUUCUUCAGAUGAGCAUUCUGAGCCUGCCACUGCCGCCCGUUACUGGUAUAAAUUGAUAUGGCUAAUGUGGAGUAAUACUUUAUCUUAGCCAUAACUCCAGUAGGUGGCACAGCCAUAGACACUCAAGAAACCAUCAUUCAUUAUCAAGCCAUAUGGGACCAGAUUGACUCUGAACAGUGGGAACAUGCCAGGGGAUCUGUAGGAUCCAAACCUGUUCAACUAGAUGAAGUGGUUAUGGUGUUAAGAUUGCACCUUUUAGGUAGAAACACUUAUUAUUGUUUAAAAAUGGCAAUUCAUUUAAUACAAAUAGUAGAGGAUAUCAAAGAGUACUUAAAAACAACGCAUAGACAUAACAAAAUAACUAACCCAUUAAUGCAAGCUGGGCAUCAGUAAGCAAUUCAUUAGAAAUCAGAUUGUGCCUGAAACCUCACUAUAAGUUUCAUUAGGUUCCCAUUCAUUUUUCACAUUCUUAUUUGUUUGUUUUUUUAAAAGGUGACCAUUUUCUUCGCGAAGGAAACAAUCUGCGCCAUAUGUAUCCAAUAGACAUAAUAUAAUUGUUUGCAUAUUUACAUCUAAAUCAAGCAAAAAGCAAAGAAAUCUUUAAAAAGGGAAAUUGAGAACAUGCCCCAUGUAUUUGCCACAGGGUCAAAACAAAAUAAGUAAAUAAAUAAAUAGGUUCCAUACAGAUCUCAUGUGUCUAUGUCUCUUAUGAAUGGGUAACAGCAAGCAAGCUCUAACCUUUCCUCUGUUUAUGAUGAGUUUGGGGUUAAUGUUCUGCCUGAUGUCCACAUUUCUUUGUUCUGUCGCCUCGAUAUUUAUACCGGAAUAAAAAAUGGUGGAACAGUCACCAUGGUGAUAGGGAAGGUCUUCCACAACGAGGAGUGCUAAUAUUUACACCAAAAUAGCCAAACUAAGAAAAUACCAUGGGAAUUUUUUUUAACUCAUUUACUUCAGUCUAAAAUGUUCAAUUCCUGAACAAUUUAGUGAAUAACUCUCUCAGUAAAGAGCAUGUUAGUGCCAGACAGUCAAUGGUGCCCCCCCGUGAUGACCAUGUCGGCAAAGGGGAGUGAUGUCAAUCAUGGGGGAUCGGACUUUAACGAGAACUUGGCCUUGUCGCUGGAUUGAUGUGAGUAUUUAGCUUCUUUUUUUUUUUUUAUUCGGUGGGUGGAGGUAGACCAGCAAGGGUUACUCUAACCAAAACCAGUGUUUUAUGAAAAAAAAAAAAAAAGGAAACAAUGGCUCAAUAAUAAAAUAAAAAAUGAUACAAAAAAUAAAUAAAAUAGGCAAAUCUUUGCCGGUGAAAACAAGCGUGUAGAAAGCAAAGGACAAUAAUUCAAAUAUUUUUUAAGAGGCAGGCCCCAUCUGGCUUAUUUUUACAGUAAAUAUAGACAAGGGAAUUUUUGUGAGGAAAUGUGUGCUACCAGAGAACUGCCUCCAUGCCUUCUACUAGUUAAAGUCUCAAAGAACGGAGGCAGUCAGAUGUUACAUUUACCCCCUGGACCUAGGACCUCUCGUUUUAAGAGAGAGAGAGAUGCAUGCACUAGAGAAAAGUGCACACCUCUCACGGAAUGACUGUGUUAGACCCCUUGUGAUGGUGUGUUUGACCUAAACAGCAUUGUGCAGCAGAUAGGAGGUAGAACGUAUCACAGGAAUUAAUAAGAAAUCCAAAUUGUAAGCCACAUUUACAGUCGCUUCCAUUGAUAAAUUCUUGCAGUAAAUAAAGCGACUGUCGGUUUUUUUGACCCAUAAAUAUGACCUCUGAUGGCUAGAGGAACUAACCAAAAGGAAGUGGAAGAGACUAACACCAGUCAUUCAUUCAACAACCUAUUUCCCUCCCUUUGGCUUGUACCCCAUCCAACAAAAUGGACUGGCAGAGUUCCAAAACAUGAUAACGGGGACUAACUAUGCCCGGAGGAAAUACUGAUAUAUGGAUUUACCUUCCCAAAGCCAACUACUCUAAGUGUAGCACUUAUGGCUGGAUGGAAAUUAAACCAGGGAUCAAAAGGACGUUUCUUGGCAUAGAGAAUUUAGGCUGGUGGAUUUUGUAAAGCCCAAAAUUAAUUCUUAAUUAUGUAUAGGUAUUGAUGUUUUUUUUUUUCUUCUUUGAGUCCAAUUUUUAUUGAUUUUUUCUUUUGCACAAACACUUAUAAGUAAAACAUUACAGUGGUAUCAAAAAACGUGUUGCGUUUUUUAAGUAUUUUGCUCAUUCAGACAAGGGAACUUACUACACUACAAAAAUUAAGUUGUUUUAUUUUUCCUCUGCAGCUCUGCCUUGUUCUCAGAAUUUUUCUCUUUGAUUCAUGGCAUGGGAUCGUGGAAAGUUCCGUAAAGCGCAGUGUUGUAUUGCAUAUGAAUAUAAGAAUUUGUGUUUAUGAAUGCGUGUGUAUAUGAAUGUGAGUAUGUGCAUGUAAUUUUACCUAACAAAAGGGGAUUCGAGGGGUGCAGAAUGAGACACAACUUUUUUUUUUUUUACAGUUUGGGGGUGGGGUGCCAAAAUGCAUUUCAAUCAUAUAACCUAGGUACGCCUCUUGUACAGCGCCACAACUUUCAAAAACUUCUGAAAUAAUCUACAGAGACAUAGACAACAACCAAGCAUAGAAAAUUCACUUCCACAAAAAAGUUGGAAAACUUUAUUUUACUUUAUUGUUACAUUAAAAAACAACAACAAACAUAUUUCACAACGGAGCUGUUGUGACAAAAAGGGGGAACUUUUUGGGCACAGAACCCCUUAAAUACUGGUUGCUGCAGACUCAUGAUUCUACGAUUGAUAGAAUUCUAAGUUUUAGCAAAUUGUCAGUGUGUCCCUGAAAUAGAAAUGGCAGCUGCCAAGUGACUUUUAAGACUCUAUAUCUUUUCCUAAGCACACGUUCCUUUGUUUUGUUUUUUUUUUGUUUCUUUUUUUUUUCCUUGAAAAUGUUUUGGGAAAGGCGUUAACCUCUUUCCGUGCCUCUAUUUUAGUUCCCUUUGUCCCCAAUAGGAUGAGUGCAGAGUAAAUGACACAACAGGAAAUAAGGAAGCUGUCUUCGGAAUCAGCAGACACUUCACCACGAUAUCCUCCACCUAGAACAUGGUCCGCACACGGAGCCUUGCCCGCACCGAGGAUAUGUGUGCAGUCUGGAGGCCUGGUGAAAGAUUUAGGAAGGGCAUCUGUAAUCACAAGGGGAGGGAAACUAAUUAUCUGAAUCAGUCUCAGAGGAAAGAGAGGAGCCCGAGGGUAAUAUUGGGGCGUUUUGCAAGAACAGUUCUGUUUGUUGAAAAGCUUGAAGAAAGUUAUAGAGUUGAUUGAAAAGGAAGCGUCAUGAGUAAAGGAUGCUUUUCCUUUUAGUUUCUGACAUAUAUAGAAACAUAGAAUGUGACGGCAGAUAAGAACCAUUUGGCCCAUCUAGUCUGCCCAAUUUUCUAAAUACUUUCAUUACUCCCUAGCCUUAUCUUAUAGUUAGGAUAGCCUUAUGCCUAUCCCACGCAUGCUUAAACUCCUUUACUGUGUUAACCUCUACCACUUCAGCUGGAAGGCUAUUCCAUGCAUCCACUACCCUCUCAGUAAAGUAAUACUUCCUGAUAUUAUUUUUAAGCCUUUGUCCCUCUAAUUUAAGACUAUGUUCUCUUGUUGUGGUAGUUUUUCUUCUUUUAAAUAUAGUCUCCUCCUUUACUGUGUUGAUUCCCUUUAUGUGCCCCCACCCUCAGGGUCCCCCUGCCGCCGGGCUGGAUGGAGAGGAAGGGGUAAACUUACCUCUUUCUCCAGCGCCGGGCGGGGAGCUCUGCUCCUCCUCUCCGCCCUCUCUCCUCAUCUUCGGCUGAAUGCGCAUGCACGACAAGAGCCGCGUGUGCAUUCAGCCAGUCCAUAGGAAAGCAUUCUGAAUGCUUUCCUAUGGACGCAAGCGUCUUCUCACUGUGAAAAUCACAGUGAGAAGCGCGGAAGCCCUCUAGCGGCUGUCAGUGAGACAGCCACUAGAGGCUGGAUUAACCCUAAUAUAAACAUAGCAGUUUCUCUGAAACUGCUAUGUUUACAGAAAAAAAGGUUAAUCCUAUCUGGACCUGGCACCCAGACCACUUCAUUAAGCUGAAGUGGUCUGGGUGCCUAUAGUGGUCCUUUAAAUGUUUCUAUCAUAUCCCCCCGUCUCGUCUUCCUCCAAGCUAUACAUGUUAAGUUCCUUUAACCUUUCCUGGUAAGUUUUAUCCUGCAAUCCAUGAACCAGUUUACUAGCCCUCCAUGAACCAGUUUAGUAGCCCAUGUCUAUGACUUUUUGUAACAGUGAAUAUAGUUCCAAAGUCACUUCUGUAACAACGUAACGAGGCCAAUGUGUCCACUGUAUAUAACAGGCCAUGAUUUUUUGGGCUUUGAUACUUGUUAAGAUGAUGAUUGAAAAACACAGUAAUUUAAUAUAUUUAAUGCCUCUUAUUGACCUCUUUCUGAAGAAAGAUCCUAGAGUCAAUAUGAAUCUGCUUUUCCGAGGACUCAAGCUGCUUUAUGCCUCUGAUAAUUGUUUUUAAAGCUCGUGUACAAUCUAGCUUCUACUCCCCUGAUCAAUUCUGUCCCAGAGUCACUGGAUGGUUUGUGUGACUCUUAUUGACAGUUACUCUGUGAAGCAGCUGCUUAUAAUAUGACUAAUUGGUGCUUAUUCCAUACUCAAUGAAAUCCUCUUCUGAGGCAAAAAUUAUAGAUUGGAGCAUUAAGUGCUCAGAGAUACAUAAAAAUCAAAUAAGUAUGGGAGAGUCUGCAUGCGCCAAAAAUGAAUAUUUUUAAUUGACAUUAUGUCUCUUAAUUGCGCCUUCUGAGUCUGCCAAAUACUCAAUGAAUUUAAAUGUUAAAUUGUAUUUUUCACUUUCUCGUUAUUCUUUUGGUAAUAGUUAUAAAUAAUUGCAAGCUUAGAUCCCUGAAAAUGUUAAACAACAGAGAAGCAAGUGUAGAAAGAACCCCCCCCACCCCCCCCCAAAAAAAAAUCAAAACAACAAACACAAACAAAACAACAAAAAGGAAGCACUGAUGGAAAUUUAAGAAUUCCUUUACAAAGUGUCAGUAUUUGUAAUUUUUCUCUUAAAUUCUUAAAAUGGAACAACAUAUAUUCUUAAAAGAAAAACAAAACCAAUUUAAAGUUCUCUAGUGGUUAAUACUGUUGGAUAAUGCACUGGCAAACAAACAUUACUUUAUUCUGCUGAGACUCAAAAAUGAAUAUAUUGUUGACCUAAAGGAUGAGAAUUUAAAAGAAUUGAAUCAUAAUUGCCAACCCUCACUAUUACCGUGGUCUCAUCUUAAACAGCCAUGUCUGUCUUAAUUUUGAAUAUCCCAAAGACGUGACAGGGAUGAGAACAUUAAAUAAGAAGAGAAAAAAAAUCUUGUGACAUAAUGAAACUUGUGAAAACGUGAUUACAUUUCAAACAGCAAAAAAUUGAUUUUCUGAACUAGUUUUCAGCUGACGCUUGAAUUCAGUGGCCUCAUAAAAACAUUUCUGCUUUUGAAAUAGAAUAAAGGUAUUCCUUAAAAGACUUGUGCGUUUGGUUUCAAACAAAUUAGAAUUAUAAUGGUCAUGAUAUCAUUUUUAUGGUAUUUUUUAUUAUAAAUAUAUUUUACAGUAUAUUGGUUGGUCCAUUUUCAUGACCUUUUGGUUUGUCCGAAUCGUUUGCCGUAACCAAAAUACCCUAUAAAUACAUUUUGGACGACCGGACUAUAUUUUUUUUCGGAUUAAUCAAUUCGGUCAAAACAGACUGAUGAUUUGCUGGUCCUGAAAUUACGUUUCAAGUUACGUUUAGUGGUUCUAAACAUUUUUAUGCAAAUAUUUUGCUGCUCUGCUCUACUUUUAUAAAUAGUCUAGUGGAAGUUUGAAAACAUGGGAUUUACAUUUUAAUACACGUGCCGUUUCUCCUGUUUAGAACGUGUAUUAUUCAGUAUGAUGAGUGCCAGUCUUUUCAGACACUUACUCUCCCUCGCCGGUUAACUCACUGACUGAUUCUUGUUUUUGCGUGGAUACAAUAUAUGAAGGAUUCCCAUACCAAAUGUUAGCAUUGUGCUUUUGUCAUUAGUAACUGAUGAAACAUCCAGUAUGCUUAAAGGGACACUAUAGGCACCCAGACCACUUCAGCUCAUUGAAGUGAUCUGGGUACAGUGCCCAUUUUGCCCUUAGUGCUGAAAUGGUUAACAUUGCAGUUCCAGAGAAACAGCAACGUUUACAUUGCAGCACUAAGUCUGCCUCCAGUUGCUGUCUUCCAGACAGCCACUGGGUGCGCUUCACGCUCUGCAUGAGGACAUCCAGAGUCAUCAAUUUCCCCAUAGCAAAGCAUUGAUUCAAUGCUUUCCUAGGGGGUGGGCAUAAUGCACGUGGCACUUGCACGGACAUCAGAGCUGGGAUCAGGUAAGUAAAUAAAGAAUUUUUAACCUUUUAUUCACCGCAGCUUGUGGGAGGGCGUGAGAGACGGGGGAGGCAGAGUGCCAUGAAUACAGCUUUGAAUUCCUGGCACUAGAGUAUUCCUUUAAUUUCCAAUUUUGCUUUCCCAUUACUCUUAAAAAACAACCUUUAUGCAUGAAUAAAAAAGGUUACUCAUAAGGAAAAAACAAAAAAAAUUCAGAUUCCUAAAAUACUUGCUAUCUUAUUAGCUCCACCCUUUGUGCCAGUAGGACCACAAUUAAACACAUAAAUUCAUUAAUUAAUAAAUCUACCCGGCUCUUUGCAAGAAGAGCCAAAAAUGUCAUAUCUCUAUCUUGGUUCCAACUUCCUAGAUGUUCCUGUGGAUCUCACAUUUUUAAUCCGUUCCAUUAACCUUAAAGGAACACUAUAGGGUCAGGAACACAAACAUGUAUUCCUGACCCUAUAGUGUUAAAACCACCAUCUAGCCACCCUGGUACCCUCGUGCCUCUAAAAAUAAAGUAAAAUCUUACUUGAAUUCAAGCCUGCAGCUGCAUAGUUUGUCCCGGUUUCCUUUAGACCUGCCCACUGCCUGCCGGCAUCAUCAGAGGAUUGGCUGAGACUGACAAAGAGGCAGAUCAGGGGCAGAGUCAGCACAAUUCAAACAAAGCCCUGGCCAAUCAGCAUCUCCUGAUCAGAUGAAUUCAAUCAAUGAAUCUCUAUGAGGAAAGUUCAGUGUCUGCAUGCAGAGGGAGGAGAUACUGAAUGUUUGGAUGCAUUUUAGGCAGCCAUGACCCAGGAAGGAUCUCUAACAGCCAUCUGAGGAGUAUCCAGUGAAGAUAUCACUAGGCUGUUUCUCUGAAAAGACAGUGUUUACAGCAAAAAGCCUGAAGGUAAUGAUUCUACUCACCAGAGCAAAUUCAAUUAGCUGUAGUUGUUCUGUUGACUGUAGUGUCCCAUUAAUAGAGUGAUGACUACAAGGGCCAUCUGUGAUCCCCAAAAUGAAGCCUUGGUUGUGUUAAUAGUGUUAAUAGUGUUAGUGUUGUGUUAAUACAUCUGCUGUGCAUAUCCUGUAUUUUAAGGUGACUACUACAGUAAGCAGGGGUUCUGAUGCUUCAAAAUGUUUUCAAACAUCCUAUGCUGUUAUCUCGUUUGACUUUCUGUUUUAACUUGGAAAAACCAACAGGAAAGUGGAGUAACAGCAUUUCCUAAGAAAAGUGACAAAUCUAUAUAUAAAGAAAUAAAAAUGUUUUUAUCGUUGCCAUAGUCUCUAUCAUAUGUCUAUACAAAAUAAACUCUAAUCUCUCAAAGUGGAACCUUGAGAAAAUAUCUUAAAGAGAAUCUGUAGUCCCGUAAAUAACAAUUAUAAUUUCGUGACUACAGUCUCCUUUCUUACAAUGUAAACAUUGUUAAACAUGUGUUAAACUUUAUCAUAUUCAUCAGUAUUGUCCCAGUCAGACCUGAGGAGGAGAGGAAAACUCUCAAAAGAUUUUUUUUAAAAUAUUAUGUUAGCCCAAUAAAAAGAAAGUAUCAUUUAAUACUGAAAUACUUAGCAUCAUGUUUUACUGGACUAAUACUCUAAUCUACAUUAAAAUAUUGUGUUCAUCUUUCUAUAAAUGCAGUAACUGGAAAUAUAAACAAAACAUUUAUCAUAGAAGUUAGUAGGUAAUGCCUUUUACUGUGACGUCAUCGGGAUUGUGUGACCUCACGAUGAUGCAGAAGACGUGAUCACUAAAAUACUACUGCGCAGUCACGAAUAAGUUAACACUGCCUGACUAUGCGUUAGCUAUGCGGUGAGGUAACUACACACAGGAUGCAGGCCGGAGGAAGAGAAAAUAAUACGGCUCUGAAAGCGAGCCAGAUCUGCUUGAAAAUGCAUUUCUCUCUCAUGCAAACUAUUUUACUUAGAAAGCAACAUGUGAAACUGAUCUGAAGUUUGCUCAGCGGCUGGAUAGAAGGUCAGUGUUAUCCUCUGCUCCAAGUGUGUGGGAGACUCUCUGGCUUCCUCUGACAUUCUAUGGAACGCUUUCAAAGAUUCGUCUGGAAGUUUUGGAAACCACUCCUAAAUCCUGAAGAACCUCUAUUAGAAGGAAGAAUGUCCUUGCAAGAGAACUGGUGGCAAUGACUGCUGCAGUUACAGCAGUUUUACAGUAACGCCUGCAAGGUUUUGGGGUUUUUAAAGGUCCGAUUGUUGACACCACUAAUGUUUGCGAGGAAAUGGGGUGCACUUUCAAAGACUGUUUGUGAAUGGUAAAAAAAAAUGGGGUGCUUGCUAUAAAACCGGUGGAUCUGCUACAGGCUGACAGAUUAUAACGGGAGUUGUAGUCCAACUAUAUCUAAAGGACAUUAUUAUUAUUAUAUUUCUAUAGCGCCAACAAAUUCUGCAGCGCUUUACAAUGGAUGGACUAACAGGCGUGUAGUUGUAACCAGACAAGUUUGAUGCACAGGAACAGAGGGGUUGAGGGCCCUGCUCAAUGAGCUUACAUGCUAGAGGGAGUGGGGUAAAGUGACACAAAAAGGUAAGGGAAGUAUUAGGGAAGUUGAUUGGUAGAAUAGUGUUCACUUUUGACUUAGUGUGUUUUUUUUUUGUUUUGUUUUUUGACAAUUGCAGGAGAUGAAUACGUUGGGAGCCAUUAACAGUUUAGCUGAUAUGCUAUUGUGAAAAAGUGGGUUUUUAAUGAUUUUUUUAAGGAAUGGAGACUGGGUGAAAGUCUAACUAAGAAGGGAAGGGAGUUCCACAGAAAUGGCGCAGCCCUAGAGAAGUCUUGAAGGCGAGCAGAGGUGGAAGUACAAACAGAGGAUAGACGUAGGUCUAUGGCAGAGCGUAGGGGCCUAGAUGGGACAUACUUGAGUAUUAGGGAGGAUACUGUCACAGUUCUCACCGUGAUAUCCAGACAGCCAGACCUGGUUGCCCCAAAAGUGCCCAACAGGGGAUAUGAACCUGGAUCCUUCUGUGUCCUGGGCCUGCUGUUUUGCCUCUGAGCCUCAUUUCUGUUCUUGCUUCAGCCUGAUGUUUAUCUUUGCCUUGUCUCCAGCACUGGGGGCUGGACUUUUCCUGUGGCUGCUCCUAUCAAUCUCGGUCCACCUGAAGCAUAUCGCUAAUUAGCCAGGUAUAAAACACUGCCUCUCUCUUAGGGCAGUGUCACUUCAUUGACUCUGGUUCCUGUUAUUGUGUAUCUUUAUCCAGUGUUCUCCAGACAGCUCCUGACCUUGGCUUAUCUCAUCGUUUACUCUGACAUCUGGCUUUCCCUGACUUUCCACGACUAUUCUUCUGCUUGUCCUUGCCUGUACUGAGACUUGGAGCUAUAUUCCUGCACAGCCCCCGUGCACAGACUCACAGCCCAGGUGGCUUUUUACCUGGUCACCUUGGUCUGUGUUUAUUUGCAAGGGUGAGUGUAUAACUCUGCACGUCGGACUCCACAGGAAGCCAAUGUAGGGAGUGACAGAAGGGUGAGGUGUGGGAGGUGCGGGUGGACAGGAAGAUGAGCAUCACCGCCGCAUUCAUUAUAGACGGCAAUGGGGCAAGUUGGGAGCAGAUAAGAUGACUGAGAAGCGGAUUGCAGUAGUCAAGGCGGGUGAGGACAGUCGCAUGGACCAGCGCCUUAGCCGCAUCUGGCAUUAAGUAGGGUCGGAUACGCGCAAUGUUUUUGAGGUGGAAGCGGCAGGAUUUGGCGAUAGACUGGACAUGAGGGGUGAAGGAGAGGUCAGAAUCAAAGAGAACACCAAGGCAGCAAGCCUGCGUGGUGGAGCUGAGGGUAGCACCAUUAACGUGGAGGGAGACAGACACAGGAGUAGCAACACCUGAGGGAGGAAAGACCAGAAGUUGUUUUUGACAAUUUCAGCUUAAGGAAGUGGGCAGCCAUCCAGUUAGAAAUAGCAUAGAGGCAGUCAGAGACACUAGUCAAGAGGGGCAGGGAGAGAACAGGGGAGGACAGAUAGAUUUGCGUGUCAUAGAAGUGAUAUUGGAAGCCAAAGGAGCUGAUGAGUUUACCAAGGGAGGCAGUAUAGAUGGAGAGGACCACGGACAGAAACUUGGGGGACACCAAAAAAGAGAGGGGUUGGGGGGAAGAGGCAGAGCCAGAGAAAGAAACACUGAAAGAGCGCUGGAAGAGGUAGGUGGAGCACCAGGAGAGAGCAAUAUCUCCUGGACCGAGAUUACGGAGUGUGAGAUUAACAGUGUCAAAAGCAGUGGAAAGGUCAAGGAGAAUUAGGAUAGAAUAGUGUCCAUGAGAUUUUGCAACGAGUAGAUCAGAUAGUUGGAAACUUUGGUCAGAGCCGUUUCCACAGAGUGCUAAAUUUAACACACACAGUGUAAAGGAUGCAUACCCCUUGUUGCAGACAUAUAAAGUUAUUCACAUACAGGGCUAUUCAAUAAAGUGAGAAUUGAAAGUGUGUUCAAAGUGGAUUUCAAAUUUAAGACAAUCUGGAGGGAUAGCUGACUUAGAAUUUUGCACUUUGCACAUUGUGAAUUGUCAGGAAUUCAAAGUGAAUUUACAAAGAAAUUCAAAGGUUAGGUUAAAAUAGCCAGAAAGAAAAAAAUGCUGACUUGGAGAAUCCUUCGGUGACUUUGGCAUACCGUUUAAAAUUCACCUUAAAUUCCCGACAAUUCAUACUUUAGUAAAUAAUCCUGAUAGUCUUCUUACAUACAGACCAAUAGGCAGUAUCUUCUAUACUUUCCUUAUUCUUCUGUUGGCUGUACCCUGCAUAGUAACCAUUCAUGGUGGGUUUUUUCAAGCACAAAAUAUCUUUUCACAUGUACCUGAAUAUUUCAGCUGUGAAAACACUGAGUCCGGGCAUUGUGCUGUAUCUAAAUAGUGCCAUUUUUGGGGUGACAAGGUCACUUUAACCCCUUAAGGACACAUGACAUGUCAUGAUUCCCUUUUAUUCCAGAAGUUUGGUCCUUAAGGGGUUAAGAAAAGGGGAAACGCCAACUUUGUGUUACGUGGCUGAGUUGAACAUCGUCAAGCUUCUCAGCCUCUGGAGCUCCGUCAAGACCAAUGGGAUACGAAGACAGAGUUACAUUAAUAGAAGUAAAAUUCUCUGGUGUCCCUACUACCCAAUCCAAAGCUCUGUUACUUGCUCCUUGUUUUAGAAGACACAGAAAAACAAGUUGAGAGAUAUCUCCUCCCUCCUUCUCCAAAUAAAAAGUGCAAAUAUUUUACAGGAAAAUUAAAAAUAUAUUCAAAUAUACCUAAAAGGUUAAAAAUGUAGACAGGUGUCCGUGGGCACCUGCCUAGGCCAAAUCCGGCAUAUAAAUUGUGAGCUUCAACCAUCACCUGAAAUUGUCUUGUUUUAUUAUGCAAUUUGUCUUCUUUGCCUUUUUGCAAAAUCAAGUCACCUAUUAACAGCUCAAUCUGUCAGUUCAGCCAAACUGUAGCCAGAGAACUUGUGAUCUAGCUAAUGCUAAAUUAGAUUGUUUUGGAAGAAGAUCCAGAGUGUUAGAUUCAUUCUGCGAAGCGGUAUCGGACAGAUUUCAAAGAUAUUUGCAACUGAGUAUCUUAGGUCGUGCUUUUCCCAGGGGGGUUGGGCUAGAAUUGACAUAAAGGACCAGUGUUUGAUAGAAAUAAGGAAUGUAAGGAAGUUUAUAUCAGAGUAUUUCUAAGGUUAGUAUUGUUUUACUAAAGUAUUUUUGAAUUUAUCCAGGCCUUUAAAUCGGAAUCGUGAAGCUGCAAGUCACACGGAGACGCUCAGAUGACUUUCAUUCAUGUGUCAUCUUGUAAUAUGUUUAUCUAGAGAGGGCGGAAGGUGCAGUUGGCCGUGGAGGAGAAUCUGUGUGAAGAUAUGAAUGAAAUGUCAGACCAGUGACGCUUAUCAAUGAGAAUAUAUGUACACAAAGUGCAGAAAGUUUCCAAAAGCCAUAUUUAGCCCCAAACAGAUGGCAGGCAGGGAGCUCUUUAUGUCUUAUAAAUCAAACACAACAAUUGUAUGACCGGCUAAAUAAAUAAAAAAAAAUUUAAAUAAAACAAGGGAGGCUAUUUGUGGAAAUGCAGGAUGUGAAAACUACAAGAUAAAAUAAUAUAUUAAUUCUCUAAAUGCCACAAGGAUAGACUGUAAGCUCGUUUGAGCAGGGCCCUUUUCAGCCUAUCGGUCCUGUAAGUUUUCUUGUAAUUGUCCAAUUUAUAGUUAAAUCCCCCCUCUCAUAAUAUUGUAAAGCGCCAAGGAAUCUGUUGGCGCUAUAUAAAUGGCAAAAAUAAUAAUAAUAAUAAUAAUAAAACAUAGCAAAGCGAGUCUGAAAGAAGAGCAAUUUAAAAUCCAGCACACUGGGGAGUAUAACUGUAGAACAAUCAUGUCAAACUCAAAGUGUGGCACGAGCCACAUAAACAAGGUUUAAGUUUAUGUGGGCCGCACACACACAUACUCACUGACAGACACACACACACUGACAGACACACACACACACACAUACAGACACACACACACUCACUGACAGACACACAUACAUACUCACUGACAGACACACACACAGACAAACACACACACACACUCACUGACAGACACACACACAUACUUGCUGAUAGACACACACGCUGACAGACCCACACAUACUUGCUGACAGACACACAUACUCACUGACAGACACACACACACACAGACAGACACACACAGACACAUACACACAGACAGACAGACACACAUGCAGUCACACUGACACACACACACACACACACUCACUGACAGACACACACACUGACACAGACACACAUACUCACUGACAGACACACACACACACAUACUUGCUGACAGACACACUCACACACUUACACACACAUACUUUUCAUUAUUGCUCCUUACCUUGGAGCCGAUGUGGGGCAUCUCCCUGGCAUCCUUCCUGCUCCUCACUGCUCCCUUGUGCGGUUUAGUGAUGCCGGGUGCCGGAAUAUGACAUCAUAUUCCGGCGCCCGGCUUCACUUCAGUUGGCACGCGCGAGGGAGCAGUGAGGAGCUGGAACACUGAGCUCCCUCGCGGCCCUUCUCCCCGGCCUGGUAAGUGUUAGCAGAUUAGGCACCUGCAAUAUGGGGAAAGCACGUGCCUACUCUGCUAUAACACCAGCAUGCACUCGCGGCUCGCCAGCCGCAAAGAUGGUCCUUGUGGGCCACAGGCGGCCGUGAGUUUGACAUGCUUGCUUUAGAAGGUGAACUUUGGACAAUCCACAGUGUUGCUUGGAGUGUCCCUUUACCUAUUUAUGCUAUCGAAAUGUUGUUCUUAAAGGCUCACUAUAGUGUCACUAACACAAACAUGUAUUUAUGACCCUAUAGAGUUUAACCCACCAUUUAGAUGGCUUGCCUCCCCUUAGCCCCCAUAUAAAAGUUUAAAACUCACCUUAUUGGCUCCUUUGGCGCUGGCUCCGCCUCCUCUGUGACAUCAUCAAAAUGGAUUGGCUAAAAUCAGCACGGGGCGGGGCUAAAUGCCGGUUUGGCCGAUCAGGACCUCCUCAUAGAGAUGCAUUAAAUCAUGGCAUCUCUAUGAGGAAAAUUCAGCGUCUUCAUGCAGAACGUGGGGACACUGAACAUCAGGGCUGCUUUUUCGGCAGCGCUGACCCAGGAAGCACCUCCAGUGGCCAUCUAAGGAGUGGCCACUUGGAGGUGUCCCUAGAGGCAGUGUUUGCAUGAAAAAGCCUGAAGGGAACUAUUACACUCACGAGAAAAACUACAUUAAGCUGUAGUUGUUCUGGUGACUAUAGUGUCCCUUUAACACUGACAGGGUAAUUAAGUUAACUGUGGAUUGUCCAAAGUUCACAGUUAACUUCAAACGAUAGGCCAAAGUCAGAAUUGGAAACUUAGUUGACUUGGAAAAUUUUCCCAGUUCUGCUAUUUUAGUAGUCUAAAAUUUAAAAUUCACUUAAAUACAUGACUUUUCCACUUUCCACUUUACUAAAAAACCCAGUGAACAUCUGGGGGUUUAUUAGCUAAAUUAACUGAAUUGAAGCAGAAAACCAGAAUAACAAAAUCUAGGUUAAAGGGACACUACAAACAUUCAUCUCACUGAGGUGGUCUCCUCCCCCCCCCCCUUAGUCCUGCAAUGUAAAACAGAAAUUGCAAUGUUUACAUUGCAAUGCUAAGACUGCCUCUAGUGCUAUGGAAUUAGCUGGCACUAUAUAAAUAAUAUAAUAAUAAUAAUAAUAAUAGGUGUCUACCAGACAGCCACUAGACAGCCAUUAGAGGUGCUUCCUGCAGUUUCACUGAGUCAGACUCCGUGAAAUGACGCUGGACAGCCUCACGCGUUACAUGAGUAGAUCCAGCAUCAAGACCCAUUAGGUCCAUCUUAUUGGCUAAUGUCACCGAAGGAGGAGCACAACCCAACAUUGAGGGACCUCGGCACUGGAAUCAGGUAAGUGACUGAAAGGGUUUUCAACCCUUUCAUGGAUGGGAAGAGGGGAGCCCCGGGGGCAGAGUGGACAUCUUUGUAUUCCUAACACUAUAGUGUUUCUUUAACUUAGUCAAAUUGUGACUACAGGCGAGUUGCAGAUUUUUUUUUUUCAUAUCUGCUAUUUUUGCAUUCAAAUUUCAAUUCGGUAUAAUUCAUUAUUCGGUGAAUAAAUCCCUAAAUAUUAGAUUAAUCCUUGGUUGAAGUUACCUUGCUUUACAGGACGGUAAUAUUUUCAGACUGUAUGACUAAUGGUUAACCUUAACACCCUAGAUGUUUGCAAAUUGCAAUUCCCAUGACGCACAAGAGGCCUAAAAGAAAACGUUCUGUCAGACAUAUCCCUACAGUUCACAAGCAUCUGACAGCCAAGGUAUCUGUCACUGAGCAAGAGUGAGCUUGAUAUUGUGUUUCCUCUUUUUUUAUUCUUUCUUUUUAUGCCCCAUUGCCAGGCUUCAAAGCAGAAAUAAGAGAUUCAAACUAUCGGACUUCCUCCCUCUGUGCUCAUCAUACAACUUUAUGACUUUAUUUUGUUACUCUACAGCAUGUUCAGUGAUGUCAGGUUAUUGGGAUGCAGAAACCUGCAGUGCGCAAGAUGGAAACACCAGAUUUAACAUAAAUACCAUACUACAAAGGGCAGGUUAAGCAGUUGUUGGCUACAUUCCGUACUCACUCUUAAAGAGACGCUCUAAUCAUCAAAACCACUACAGCUUAUUGAAAUAGUAAUAAUAGGAUUAGUGCUGUUAUAGUUAUGGUGCCAAAAGGUUUUGGUCAGUUUCACAAAAUUCAGGGCCUUCUUGGCACCCACAGCCAAGACUCCCAUAAAACGCUGCAAGUGUGGAUACAUGUUUCCUUUAGAGUUUACCCAUUGUUUGAUUUUAAAUGAUGUAAUUAAAAUACUCCAAGCCUAAACAGAUUCUUCCCCGAUAGGAACAGUGAUGAGGACUCAGUCAUUACUUUUGUGCAAAAAGACAGUUACUUUAUUAUAUCCAAAAUUGAAUUAAAUUGGAAAAGGUGCGUGGGUGGGGGAGACGGGGACAAUAGAAAACACUAUGAACACCAUCACCCCGGUAAUAGCCAUGCACAAUCCUAAUUUAAGCAUUACACUCUCUAUAUUUACUAUUUUCUUUUCUAUAAACUAUAGCAUCUGCUCCAUGCUUCAUGUUUUAGACACGGGCUGAUAUUUCUAAUUCUUCCCAGAAAAACGUACUUUGUUAAAUGGUUUGAUGUCCCUCCCUAUUCAUCGCAUGGAAGGGACCCAGUCAAAUCUGAAAAGUAGAGUUAGGGCUAAGUAGAUAAACACGGCCCCUGGUCUGUUCACAUUAUCUUCUAAUCCCUUCCAGCGGGUCUCCUGUUGUGCUGACAUCACCAGGGAGGGGUAUGUAUCUUAAAUUCAUGUGGCCAAGAUCCAUAAAUCAAAAGUGGUAAAACCCACAGGUGGAGAUUAAACAAAAUAUAUAACAAAAGCAUAGCUACUUGAAUAAGAUCAGCUGCAAUUAAAGUGACCAUCAUUGAAAGGAGUCAAUGAGAGCGGACGCAGACACAGAAGCAUAGUGCAGAGAUGUUCUGGUAACGGCCUAGAAAGACCAUACUUUGCCCCCCCCCCCCAAAGCUUUUACCCCGACAGUUUCACUCCCUGCCACCACCGGGAUUGUACUCUAGAGCACACCUGUGGGGUAGAAGAACAACUAUUGUUCCUGUAAGUUUAUUUGUAAUUGUCCUAUUUAUAGUUAAAUCCCCUUUCAUAAUAUUGUAAAGUGCUACGGAAUCUGUUGGCGCUAUAUAAAUGGCAAUAAUAAUAAUAAUAAUAAAAGGUCCCGGGCUGGGACAGACUCAAGUGGACUGGACACCAUCUUGGCCAUGAGCAAAGAAACUCGGAGUGAUCUAAUACCCCAUCACCAAGUGCUCCCAAGUGCAUUCAUGUUAAUUAUUAGUAUGCUUUCUACUAUUGCUCCAAUUAUUGAAAUGCACAAGGGUUCCAUUGGUCUAUUAUCACCAUUUUGCUUUCCCCACUGGCUGUGACAUGGGGAGUAGGCAAAGUCACAUCUCACAAUCUCAUCUAACAACUUACCCUAUUGACCCAGAUUUGUACUUAACCAGGGUUAUAGCAGGCCAACCCCUUAGUAUCAUAAUACAAACCUUUUAAAGCUGAACAGCCCAAAUUUGUUCCCCCCGAUGUUGCAUCAACUUUAUUGCAUCAAGGCUGCAGACCUCAUCCACCUUCACAGAUAUGAUAAGUAAAAGAGAUCAUGCUUAAUUCAGUUUUGUAUUUUAUAUGUUGUUCUUUAAUUCUUUUUCUUCUUUUAACUUUCUCCAAAAAUAUCAUGCAAGACAAGUAGACCUUUAGCUAAGUCUUCAACCUGCUAAUUUGAAAUGUGAUAUUUGUGAAUGCCUCACUUAUUAUUUUUCUUUGACUCAUUGACAAUAAAAGAGUUUAAAACUAAAGUGACCAUCAUUAUGGAAACGAUUUAAAACAUUUUGGAGAGUGACAACACAUAUUCCAUCUUUGGAAUCCUUUCAGAAGCUUGCGAAUGAGACUUCAGACAAUUACUUUAGAUUUUCACUUUCUGUAUCUUAAACUGUGAGUCUACCCCAUAAGAUUUCUUCAGCUGAGAACUCAUAUUCUAUGCAAUAGGAUUGGCCACAUAAUUGAAUUUUGGCUGAGGUUUUUUAUUUUCCUCUUGGCUUUACACAAGAAUUUCUGACAUUAUUGACCAUCCGCUAUCAACCUCUAAAGAAUUAUACACUAAUAACAAACCUGAUGCUGUCAGCAAUGUUCUAAGUAUUUGGUAUGCUGUGGGUUGAAAGAUGUGCAUAUCUAACGCUUGGCUUUUAGAUGAAAAAAUAUGAGUUUGUGCGUACAAUCCAACUUUUCUUUUUACCAAAGAGGCCCAGGUUUGUGUUAUCUAGAGGUGUGAAAGGGGGCAUUGCUGAGAAUAACGAAACAUUAUACACAUAUAUAUAGGGCCAGUAUAAGCAGCUCUCUGAUAAUCUGUUCAUUAAUAAGAUGGUCAAAAGGACAAGAUGUCAUUUAUUUAGACUUGAAGAGACGAGAUUUCACAUAGAGCAAUAGAAAGGGUUCUUUACAGUAAGAAUAAUAAAGAUGUAUAAUUCUCUAUCUAAAGAGGCUGUUCAGAUUCUGUACAGAUUUUUAAACAAUGUAUAGAUGUGCAUUUGGAAAAACUGAAUAAUGAAGCAUAUAGUAGUUAAAAUGUGGGGUGUCAGCUUCUUGAUCCAAGAUGAUAUCUGACUGCCAACUUAAGAAUGGAUAUUUUCCCAAUUUGUGCCAAAAUUGGAAAUCUCUUCUUUUUUUUUUUAAUCAACUCCAGAAAAAUGGAUAUGUGAAAGGCUAAACUUGAAGGACAUGAAUUGCUUUCAGCCUAUGUUACUACAUAAACAUUUUAAAAAUAAUAACUGCAUAUAUACAUAUGCUGUAGUUAAGGCUCACAUCACAAUGAGUUCUUUCACUAUUGAUCUCGGUGAUACAAUCAUAUACUGCAUAGUACUAUGACUACGUACCCUAGUGGUAUGAAACACAUUAGGUGGCUCUCUGUCAGGGUGGCGGUCCGGUGCCCGGGACCCAGACACUGUCUGGGCGGCGGUGCGAGGACCCAGUAUGCCUGAUGUUCAGAGUAGGACUCACAGUGUGGAGGUGGAUUAGCAGGGUCUGGUGCAGGGUAACCGCACACCCCCUGGUGUUGAGCACCAGCGUUUGUGCAGCCACAUACCAGAACCCUGAUUCAGCAUAUGCAGAUCCCAGGAACUAGGAGCAGGACAUAAGCAGACCUCCCAGGAGCUGAAUAGGGAGGCUCUGCAGCAAGAAUGUAUCCAGUACAGAAACACGGCAAGACUAGAGAUAGGCACCAUACAUGAAAAACAAGACAGAACUAAUAGAACCCAAAACCAGAGAAGGAUAGGAAGCUAAACCCAGAACAUGUACACAAGAGACGAGGGAAACAUCAAUAUAACAUGGGCAGGACUGGACAGGACUGUACAUAGACUGGGUAUACAAACUAAAACAAGAUAAGAUAGGCAAAACAAGAGGAGAAAUAACUAAGUACUAUAUAUGAAAAUCAUGGGGAUUUAGUCACAUUAUAUGAUCAUACAUUGCAUAAGCCUGCCAACAACGCCAAUGUACCCCAUAUCUGGCAGGUCCUACACUGCCUAAUGUAUGCUAAAACAACCAAAGAAGACAUAUAUAGCACUUACCUGCAAGAUUAUUAUUAUUUUCAAGUUUCCGCACUAAUAUUUAUUUUCAUGUAUGUUUAAGAAUCUAUUUGAUUAGUAAUAGUGUGCAUCAGGACAAGAACUAAAGAGGACCAGAGGCAAUUGAUCCAUAAACCAAAAAAAAAAAAAAGUUUCAUGUCUUGAAAUGUGAGGAAGAGAAAGAUUCUCACUCAAGGUUAAUAGUCUGCCUUUUAGCUUUUCAGUUUUUUUUUUUUUUUUUACAAAUUAAAAUUUUAGUUGAGCAGAGUAAAUCAAAACAGACCUUCAGACCUUCCUGGUUUAUUUGAAUGGAAAAGUUAAAAUUGUCAUUCAAUGGCUGUGUACUUGACUUCCACCUGGGGACUUUGCUUCCAACCAUGAUCUCAGCUUCAGACUUCAAACCACAUAUUUCUGGUCUCCUAUCUCAUUAUUCCAGAUGGUCAUUCUGGCUCUGAAGAAGAGCCUCACAAUUCAAGACGUGUUUUCCCACAGUUCUCAUUAGCAUGCUGUGUUUCCAGUGCAGCAAAGGAUUCUGGGUCUGAAUAGUCAAAUGAAGCCGACAACGUCUACCUUUUAAUAUUAAAUGGAGGCCUUUAGAUAUACUGAUUAUUGGAACCAAUUUUAUUGACCUCAGAAGAAGGCUGACCUUACCAGGAACUAAACCUGUGACUCGUAGAUACUAUUUUUGGAUAAUGGCCUUUAACUAACAUGAAUCCUGCCUAAGGCUGAAUAUUGAUAAUAUAUUGAUGAUGGUAUAAACAUGUCUUAUUUUUGUUUCUGUUGUGAUGUAUCAGUCAGAAUACAAAUUUUUUAAUAUGUCUGUUUCUGAUUCCAAAUAAUGUCAGUCUGGCAAUUUUUUAGUCCCGUCUCCAGUCAUUGUUAUUUGAUUGUGUUACUUAUUUAGAGACUGUACCCUUAUUUAAAAUUAAACUGUCACUUAAACAUUUAAGUUUAAAUUAGUAAAUUAGUUUAAAAUAAUAAUGCAGAGAUUUAUGCUGUUUUCAUCUAGCCAAGCAUGAAAACACUGUGGUACUCCGCAGAUGUGGCCAAAAUAGUUAAAAACAAAAAGUUAGCAUUUAGGAAUUAUAAAAAAACCCAGAGUGAGGGAGACAAAAUGAUCUAUAAGAUUAGGCAGAAAGAGGCUAAGCAAGUUAUAAGAGCUUCCAAAUCACACACAGAAGAGAAAAUAGCACAGUCAGUAAAAAAGGGGGAUAAAACAUUUUUUAGAUACAUAAAUGAGAAAAGAAAAGUAAAACAAGGAUUAGUUAGAUUAAAAACAAAAGAAGGAAGGUAUGUAGAAGAGGAUAAAGGUCAGGCUGACUGCCUCAAUGAAUAUUUUUGUUCUGUAUUUACAGAAGAAAAUGAAGGAAAGGGACCUCAGUUGAGAAAAAGGAUAAAUGAGUCAUUUAUUACACGUGAGUUUACAGAGGAAGAGGUUCUAUUUCAACUGUCAAAAGUAAAGACAAAUAAGUCAAUGGGACCUGAUGGAAUACACCCAAAGCUAUUAAAAGAGCUUAGUGGUGUACUAGCAAAACCAUUAACAGAUUUAUUUAACCAAUCAUUGUUAACAGGAGUAGUCCCAGAAGAUUGGAAGUUAGCGAAUGUUGUGCCCAUUUACAAGAAAGGUAAUAGGGAGGAGUCGGGCAACUAUAGGCCAGUAAGCCUUACUUCAGUAGUGGGGAAAGUGAUGGAAACCAUGUUAAAGGAUAGGAUUGAUGAACAUCUAAAAACACAUGGAUUUCAAGAUCAGAGACAACAUGGGUUUACUUCAGGGAGAUCAUGCCAAACUAAUCUUAUUGAUUUUUUUGAUUGGGUAACUAAAAUUAUAGAUCAGGGUGGUGCAGUAGACAUUGCUUACCUAGAUUUCAGUAAGGCUUUUGACACUGUUGCACAUAGAAGGCUUAUCAAUAAACUGCAAUCUUUAAGUUUGGAUUCAAAUAUUGUUGAAUGGGUAAGGCAGUGGCUGAGUGACAGGCAACAGAGGGUUGUAGUUAAUGGAAUAUAUUCGAAGCUUGGACUUGUCACCAGUGGGGUACCUCAGGGAUCUGUACUUGGACCCAUUCUCUUUAAUAUUUUUAUUAGUGAUAUUGCAGAAGGUCUUGAUGGUAAGGUAUGUCUUUUUGCUGAUGAUACUAAGAUAUGUAACAGGGUUGAUGUUCCAGGAGGGAUAAGCCAAAUGACAAAUGAUUUAGGUAAACUAGAAAAAUGGUCAGAAUUGUGGCAACUGACAUUUAAUGUGGAUAAGUGCAAGAUAAUGCAUCUUGGACGUAAAAACCCAAGGGCAGAGUACAGAAUAUUUGAUAGAGUUCUAACCUCAACAUAUGAGGAAAGGGAUUUAGGGGUGAUUAUUUCUGAUGACUUAAAGGUAGGCAGACAAUGUAAUAGAGCAGCAGGAAAUGCUAGCAGAAUGCUUGGUUGUAUAAGGAGAGGUAUUAGCAGUAGAAAGAGGGAAGUGCUCAUGCCAUUGUACAGAACACUGGUGAGACCUCACUUGGAGUAUUGUACACAGUACUGGAGACCGUAUCUUCAGAAGGAUAUUGAUACCUUAGAGAGGGUUCAGAGAAGGGCUACUAAACUGGUUCAUGGAUUGCGGGAUAAAACUUACCAGGAAAGGUUAAAGGAUCUUAACAUGUAUAGCUUGGAGGAAAGACGAGACAGGGGGGAUAUGAUAGAAACAUUUAAAUAUAUAAAGGGAAUCAACACAGUAAAGGAGGAGACUAUAUUUAAAAGAAGAAAAACUACCACAACAUGAGGACAUAGUCUUAAAUUAGAGGGACAAAGGUUUAAAAAUAAUAUCAGGAAGUAUUACUUUACUGAGAGGGUAGUGGAUGCAUGGAAUAGCCUUCCAGCUGAAGUGGUAGAGGUUAACACAGUAAAGGAGUUUAAGCAUGCGUGGGAUAGGCAUAAGGCUAUCCUAACUAUAAGAUAAGGCUAGGGACUAAUGAAAGUAUUUAGAAAAUUGGGCAGACUAGAUGGGCCGAAUGGUUCUUAUCUGCCGUCACAUUCUAUGUUUCUAUGUUUCUAUGUGUCUAUGUAAGCGUCAGCGUUUUGGCGUGGAGAAGGUAAUUUUUUAUAGUACAUUAAAAAAGGUUGUAGAGAUUAUGUGAUGUCAGCAGCCAAUCAAAGUCUGCCAUUUGCAGAACAGUUCCAAGCUUCCCACUGUGCAGCAAACAGAGACUGGUGGGCUCUCGGAUCAUGUUAUUUGCCCAAAAUAUCCUAUGUUGGUUGGAAUAUAUAUUUUUUCUUAUAUAUAAAAAAAAACGCUGAACAGAUUGAAAAAUGAUCAGCUCAGAGUCUAGACAGUUUUUAACAAAUGUUUUAUGUUGAUACAGAAACAAAUUCUGAUGACACCGACAGUCAAAUUCUGAUGACACAGAGAGUCUUGAGUAAAGCGUAGGAAGGCUUGAUUUACCAAUGGUGUUGGGAAUAUGUAGACAGAUGCAUAGACAGAUAUGUACUAACACAUGUAAAAAUAUCCUUACAGGCUCUAGGACCUCUUAAUGUAGUGCAAUUAACAUACAAUUGAUAACUGGUGUGCACAUGGCGUUAAUAACAAAAAAUAUCAGGUGUGUAACAGAAGUACCACAAUUCCAGAAAAUAAUAGUUGUCGUUAUAUAAUUACCGAGUUUGUAUAAAUAUAGCUGUUUUCAUAUGAAAAUCAUUCAGGUAAUUCUAAUUUUGCAUACGUUGGGGACGUUGAGGAAGGACUGGGAGGAUAAACCAGUUAAUCAAUUGUUUUCAUUCGCGAUGUACCCAGCUGUACAACCAACGUGGUUGUGUCAUUCUGAUUAAUACUUUUCUCGGACUUUCUAAAAAGGUGGACACCAGAAAAUUCUCUUGUGACAGUGGUCUUAAAUCAGGUCUGCCCCUCAGAAUUUAGGAUUGUUGGCAAGUAUGAUUAAUUUUGGAAAUCCAAAAACAGAUGACAGAUCGAAGGUUCUAUGUCCACAUUCGGAGUCAGUCCAAAUACUGGAACAAAUUGGUUAACACUUGAUUUCUUUACCUACUUAGUGAAACGGAUUGUAGAAGUGGUGCUUUUUCCUAUUUAUAACAGCCAUACAGGAAAAUGGAGGUGGGAACACUCUUUCUAAAUACUCAGCAAACCUAGUCUUUUCCUGCAUGCAAGCCAGAACUGGGGGGUAAUGUGUAGGGGGUGUUUGAAUUUUAUCUGGCAGCCAUAGACCUUUUGCUGGUUCACAAAUGAAUAGUACUUGGGAACAAAUUCCUGAAAUGUGGGAUUUGUGGUGUACAAAUAUAUCAAAGAAGGUCAAAUGUUACAUAUAUUCCAGGACUUGUUCCAAAUGAAACAUAGUAGUAACUGUAAUUAAAUGAUAAUCUGUUGUAAAAAAAAAAUAUUAUAUAAUCAUAUUUAUUUUUAAACAAAGUCUUUAAUGCCGUAGUUAACUAUUCUGUUUCCGGAGACAGGCCAAUAGCAAUUUGGGCUACUGUGCGAAAUCUGCCCCGUGGUCCCUCUGAAAGGCAUUAUACACACUUCAAAGGGACAUUCUGGACUCCGAUUUCUAAUAUAUUACAGGGAUAAUGCAUUAAAAGUAUGCAACAAAUAAAAAGAUACUCACCUUGUUUUGGUCACUUCUAUAGUGAGCUCUCAUCAAAUCAGGAAGUGUCUUAAGCGUCUUAGACUCUGCUCACUGCAGUGGUGAUGGUGUAAUGACUUUUUGUUUUCAGUCUCCUGGUUUGCAUUAAAACAAUUUUCAAGUGAUUUGAGGAAAGCUGGGGCUCUUCCAUCAUGUAACAUUUAUCCAUCUGCUGCAAAUCAACUUAUGUUGAACUGAUCCAACAUCGGAUUGGCUUUCGUAUACGGAAUAAACCUUUGCUUAAAUAUCUCCCACUCUUUCUCCAAAUUCCCCACAAACCUGAGCUCUGGGGGUGGUUUGAGGGUGGCAACGCUGUGCAAAGUUCCCUUUUCCUGUGCAGGAGAAUUCUGGCUUCUAGACUUUUUAUACUGUGGCUCUAUGUAUCUAUUUAUUCCCUUAAAAAAAGAGCUAUGGGUAAAGCUCCAGAAAAUGGCAAAUUUUAAGCCUCAAUAGGAGACAUCACAAAUGUUUCCAAGUCAAUAUUUUUAAUUUGACCAUUAUAGCCUUAAAUUUUAAAUUCUAUUUAAAUUCCAGACCAUUCACACUUUAAGUGAGUAAUAACUCCAACAGUUUUAUGGAGCUGAGCAUUUUGAGAGUUGAUGUACUAGACGCAGGGAUAGGCAACCUUCGACACUCCAGAUGUUGUGGACUACAUCCCCCAUAAUGCUGGCAAGGCAUCAUGGGAGGUGUGGUCCAAAACAUCUGGAGUGCCGAAAGUUGCCUAUGCCUGUACUAGAGCUUUGGCUUGUGUGGGCAAUUUGAGCUCUGUGACAUGGUUUUAUAAACCUCGAUAUUUGGACAACCCAGACACAUCCCCAGGUAAGAAUGUCCUUACAGGCUCUAGGAUGGUGAUAAGGUCUUCUAUAAUGUAGUGCAAUUAACAUACAAUCGAUAACUGGUGUGCACAUGAAGUUAAUAACAAAAAAUAGCCCGGGCUGGAGAUAACCCAUUGUCACGACUGCUAGUGUGGUCCAACAUGCAGAAACUUUGUAAGCAUAUGCAUAGAAAAUAAAAAGGAAAAAAAGGAUAGAACGUAAACCGGUCCUUAGAAUGGCCGGACUAAUACGUUAGAGAGAGAGAAUGGUCAAAGGGAAAGCUGAGGUCAAGGAAGCCAGAAAUACACAAUACCGUUUAAACAAGCCAAGUCAGGGAGACCAGAAAUCGGAAUAACAAGGAAUAGCCAAGGUCAAAAUAGCAGGAUAUCAGAAUCACAAGGAUAAACGCACUCUCGGAAACCAGGAACAGGAAACCACGACAGGGCAAGGUACACGUUCGUAUAAUUUUGGGGGGCGGAGCCAUCUUGGUUGUUCCCGAGCACCGCAGAGGAGCAGUUCCCGGCUCGCCGCUGAGCAGGUGGACUCAGCAUGCUGGUGCGGUCAUGCCGCCCGGGCACAGACGCGCAUCACGGCGAGCCGGGAGCCGUGACACCCAUAUAGUAAUGCAUUACUUAGAUCAUGUAUUAAAUACAUUAAAAAAAAUUGAAAAAAUAAAUACUCAUCUUUGAAAUUUAUUUCAAUUCCCAGGGAGGUCCAUUCAUUCAAUGGCACACUUUGAUUGGUAUGGAGUACAUCACUGGUACACCCCCUGCCUUGGCCAUUCUCCUUUACCUCCUACAUACAUGUGGAUAAAGUUCUGAAAUAUACUGCUGGUGUUAAACGCUUGUUAAAUCCUCUUACUUUUAAAAACAUAAAUAAGUAUUUUUUUGCUGAACAAUUUUCCAAAUGUCAGCUCAAUACUACCUUCAGACUCCUGAACAGAUUAUCAUUAAUAUUAUCAGAUCUUUUAAGUGGCAGUGAAAUUUAAAAAAUGAUAAAACAAAGUGAUAAUUCAAGCAAAUUCUAAAAUGUACUUUUCAUAUAGUGGUGGUUGCACCCAACGGUACAUUUUGGAAUAUUACCAAGUAUGUUCCCACUCAGUUUUGAAAUGGAAAUUUGUGAAUAUAACCAUAAAAAAUGCAAGUGGGUUUCAUUAACUGAGCACUGAUUUAUUUCCUAUGGAAUCAUUAUAGGUAUAUGAGCCUGACAGUAAUGCAUAUUGCAUUUUUGCAUCUUUGGUGAUUUGUCCCAGUUACUGGGUGUCCUGCAUCUGGGGACACCUAGGACACUGGGACAGGAGCCCGAAAUUAGGACAGUCCUGCCAGAAGCUGGGUUGUUGGGAGGUAUGGUUAUAUUGACUCCGUAGUAUUUCUUAAAAUAUUUAGGGAGGUAUAUAAAGCGAAUUGCAAAAUAACUAGACAUUAACAAAAAUGUACCACUAAUUAGCAUGUGGCACUAGUAAAAGUGUAUUAAUUAAUAGUGUGCAAUCGUAUUCACAAAAUUGAACUAUUUUAGAAUAUUAGAAAUUAUUGGUAUUAUUAUAAUUUUAUUAUUAUAGUUAUAUUUACUAUAUCCCUAUAAAGUAUUUAAAGCAAAAAUAGGAAACAUAAGGUGGAAUAAUCAAAGAUGUGACUCUUGUACAUACACACACAUGUUUUUGUUUUUUCUGCUCUGGCUAGUUAGAAAACGCCUCCCUUUAACCUAUUUAAAAAACAAAACAAAAGUUUCCUGAAUCACAUAGCUUAAUUAUCACAUCACAUUUAACACGUGAUAAAUGACAGACCAUUUAUAUUUUUUAAAGUAUUUUGCGCCUUUUGAGGAAUUUGGGAUUAAAAAAAACAAACAAGUUAUUUUGCACCGUAAUUAAUUAUAUUGCCCAAUUGCGUCAAUUUGUGCUGUAAAAUACAAUGCAAGUUAUGAAUGGCAAUUAAAUCUCUUGACAGGACACCAAUUACUGCCCCUGAAUGGCCUUUAAGUCCCGACCCACAAAGGUUAGACUAAGCAGUGUGUGGUUUUAAACAAGCCAACAAGAUCCUUAAGAAAAAAGAUGUGUAUAUAAUGAGGAGAAAGACCAUAGCCUAGUAUUUUAUAACAGGACAUGGACAUUCGCUGCUAAAGAGGUGGACUCUGCAGAGGGGGCCCAUAAACUGCUUGGAAAUCUAAUAAGGGGUCAUAACCUCCAGACAUGGAGGAAAUAAAGCCAAGAAAAGAGAAAACAGACUUUUCUCAAUGGCUUGCUGUCCGCUGCUCAGACCAGAGAGAAUGUACUUUAGGGGAAGAGGUCUGCACAUGUUCUCAAUGAGUUAAUUCAGAUCAGAUCGCGUUUAUGUAUCCCAUUGAAUUUGCUGAAUAUAUCAUGCCCUGACUGCACAAUGCUGUCGAGAAAAGGGGAUUUCUAAAGUUAGCCUCGGCCAAAUGCAGCACAUUUUCCGUUUUCCUGGUCGGAGAUCCGAGGGAAGAACUGUGUACUAAAUCAGAGAGCAUAUGGACAAUGCAGGCUAACAGAUUUAGUGUGACUGCUUGGUGUUAACCACUUACAAACCAGAGCUCUGAAACAUGAACAGGGUGCAAUGAUGUAACAGAAAGGGUACAGACCCAAAAACUGUUUGCAAAAUGUUUAUUUUCUGUAGAAUGUGUAGCAUUUGACGUUAAUGGCCUCAGAGUCCGAUUUUUAUAUGUAGCAGCCAUGGAUCCAUGGAUAGACUUUGUGGUCUAUAUUGCUUGGACAAGAAGCAAACCUUCGACCACAAAAUGUAAUUAUCUGGUCCAAUUGGUGUGUGCUUAUACUGAGUUGUCAGGUAGAAAACUUAAACCAGGCUUCCCCAAACUCCGGCCCUCCAGAUGUUGCUGAACUACAACUCCCAUGAUUCUAUGAAUGAAAUAUAUAGGCUGAGAAUCAUGGGAGUUGUAGUUUAGCAACAUCUGGAGGGCCGGAGUUCGGGGAAGCCUGACUUAAACAGUCUAGAAGCAGCAUCCUCCAUUUGUGGUCACAUUGAUGCUCUCAGUCCAUAAGGUCUUUUUCACCUCUUGUUUCUGUUAUAUUCUGUAUGCAACUAACUUGCUGUCAUAUAUACUCAUUCUAUAAUUGUACAGUGCUGCGGAAUAUGUUGGCAAUAUAUAUAAAUGCUAAUAAUAUGUUCACAUAAUCAUGAACAGUCACAAACAGUCAUUUGAAUAUCUUCUCCUCUGUUGCAUAUUCUAUUCCAACAUGAGGCCACCGGAACAUAUUUCGAUCUUAUCCAUCAAUUUCUUUUAAGAAACAGAGGUCCAUGUUUGAUUGAUAAACCCAGGUUAUUGCUCCUGGUGUUGCACCUCUCUGUGACAAGGGAUAAAAUCAACAAACAAGGUUAGAUAGUGCAUGCGCAAGCGUACCAUUGAAUGCAAGUACGCAAGCUGUAAAUUAAGUCCUCUGCAUGUGCGUGUCUGCACAAUGCUGGUUUUCUGUUUUUUUUUAGAAUUAUUGUGCCAGUACAACAUACAAUACUUCAUAAAUGGUACCACCCAGGCCCUUUCUCCCAAUUUUUUGUCAGCCUUCAAAAUUCUGCAAAAACUUUCUGAAUGUAUUGCCGUCUGUCCAAACUAGAAAAUAUAAAAUACUUUAUGUCGUACAACAAAUAAAAGUGAAUAUAUUGGACCAACUCAGGUACUCUGAAUACCUACAAUCAGUGCUCUGGCUUCCCCUUUAAGGUUUGAGUUAAAACACACACAUGUACCAGCAGCCUUUAUUAUCAUAGCUGUUGUGUCUCUUUAAAACUGCCCAAUACAUCUCCCUCUAGAUGGCUGAGACACCAUCUACGUGUAAUAAGCAAACAAUGGGAGUUUUGCUGAUAUUGUGGAAUAUUAGGCUACUUUUAGAAAGUUGUCCAUUUAAAGCUGAAUAGAGAUUCUGCUGGCCACUAGCAAGCAUGAUGUCACUCUUAUUUUCAUUUUUAACACUUAUCCUCCUGGAAUCAUUACGUGAUCUUUACUCUUCUGAAUAUUCCAAAAUUCUGCAAACUAUCCGUUCUUCUCCCAGCUGGUUCUGGGAAGGACAGUUCUAUCCAUGUUAACAUCUUUUCCUUUGUUAGUGUUACCUAAUCCAAGCUAUCAGCAGAGGAGUGCACUGUGACUCCAUAUAAGGACGGGGAAACCGGGUCUGCAACAGAACGCUCAGGGAUACUGAGGAUUUAUAGAGAGGUCACGUUCAGCCUGAUCCGUGUUUGACAUUUAUCAUUAAUAUAACCAGACCUCAAAUUACUUUCUAUGAGAACCAUCAAUGAAAGAAACCCAAUCGUGUAGGCAGACAUUUUAAAAGGCCCCCCAUCACCUUCCUUCUCCAUAAAAUACACACAAUAGGAAACUGUGGGUAUUAUGUCCGACCAUGCUUUAGCGGCAGGAUAAUGUCCCUUGCAUGGCACCCUUUCUUCCUCUUAAAUAGAAUAUUUCUCCAUUAUUAUGUCUGCUGGUGGAUUUGCCGAGCUGUGGUCCUUUUGAACUGUGUGGCAGCUGCUGGAGCAGAAUAGAGACCUUUUUCCUAAUGGCGCCACUGACCUUGGAAAUCCAAGUGCUUACUUGAAGAAUCCCCCCCCCCUCCUCCCCGAUGGAUCAUAUUCUUUGUAACUUCACAAAGCAAGAAGCUCAAGAGAGAGGGGAAUGUGCUGUUUUGCAUAUCAGUGCUGUCUUGGAACAUCUUGAUAUUUUGGAUAAAAAUGAGGUCAUAUUAAGUGAUGUCAUUGUCAUUCUGCCCCAGUGUUUUCUCACAAAGACCCUCUUAUUGUGUCAGUGACAUGUUGGCCUUGCAUUCCCUUUACAUUCCUACAACCCACACCACUGCGCUCCACAAAGACAGGCUUCUGUCAGGCUCCUGCACAACUCGUGUGAAAGGCCCUUGUUGACGACCAUGGCUGUCCUCCUGCUUCUGGAAUCCCAAGAAUCAGAUACUAUAAAGACGGCCUGUGACUUUCGACAGGCUUUAAUGGCAACUCAUUAUGUACCUCAUUGUUUGCCACGUUAUUAUUGUAAUUCCUCAGCCAGCCUAUAAUUCAGUGGAUUCAGGUGAUGGAAGCUGAUUUAAUUUGCUGGGCAUUCUUUCCAGUGCUUUAUUCUGGUGUCUUGUUGAGCAGAUGUUAACGCAUAACUGGGAAGGCGGCUGGAGGAGAUGCAUAUUUACCCAGCAUUAUUAGUUGGGUGAUGCCUCCGAGUGCCGCCUAAUGAAUUCUUUAAUCCUAUUGAAUCCAGUAGGUCUUGGCCUGUCCGUUCCUGCAUGCUAAUGCUGUACGUUUGUUAGAAAGGAUUGCUAAGUUCUUGAUCUGUAGUUAUCUAUUUAUUUUAGUGAAUGUGGAAUUGUAGCAGUUAUGGUGCUUUGCUCACAGUGAUACAUUGUUUCACAACUCCCUAUAUCCUUAUAUCCAGCAGCUCUUGUCUCUCAGCGUCAGUCCGAUAGCUAGGUGUCAGUGACCCACCUCUUCUCCAGGUCGGACUGAUCAGUCUCAACCUAGUCAUGGUCAUGGUCAAAAAGCCUGAGGAGGGAGAGAAAGCACAAACGCCAGGAUGUAUUCCCUAUGUUUGUUUUAGGAGAUGCAGCUGCUGCCACAAUUCAGUGCAGCGUCCUGCUGUUAACAAGCCGGGGGCAGGUGGCUUUAUACGCAUACAUACAUACACAAUCAGCCAUAUAUACACAAUACAUAUACCUACCUAUACCUAUAUAGUUAUUUCAUUACCCAUUUACACAUUCGUCACACAUGAACACAUAUUACUCUUAUAUAAAUAGUCCUUUUGACAUUGCUCAUACAUAUAUAGUUGCACAUAUUGCACACACAUAUCUAUGCAUUUCUGUGUAUAUACAUUCAUAUAAAUUGCAUGUAUAUCUGUAAGGAACAUGCUUAAUUGUUGGAAAAAUAGUACAUGAGAUGAAGGUUCCACAAGCACGUGCAUUUACUCUGACUAUACACCCUGACAACACCCUGACAACACCAAAUACAUACACACAGUGACAUAUACACACCUUGCACCCACAGACACACACUGGCACAUACAUACACACACUGACACACACACAUACACACCCAUAUACACACACACAUACCCAUACACACACACCCCUUCUUCACAUUCAUUUGUACACACAUGCACCUCACACAAAUAAUUCCUUGCAUUCACACUCUCCAGCAGAAAAUGCAACUGACACUGCCCACAAAAACAUCCCAUUUGAUCCCCUGCUGAUUUUGAACGUUUGCCCACUGACAAAGAAAUGAUCAGUCUAUAAUUUUAAUGGUAGGUGUAUUUUAACAGUGAGAGACAGAAUAACAAAAAAAAAUCCAGAAAAAUGCAUGUCAAAAAAGUUAUAAAUUGAUUUGCAUGUCAAUGAGUGAAAUAAGUUUUUGACCCCUUUGACUUAGUACUUGGUAGCAAAACCCUUGUUGGCAAUCACAGAGGUCAGACGUUGGCCACCAGGUUUGCACACAUCUCAGGAGGGAUUUUGUUCCACUUCUCUUUGAGGAUCCUCUCCAAUUCAUUAAGGUUUAGAGGCUGACGUUUGGUAACUCGAACCUUCAGCUCCCUCCACAGAUUUUCUAUAGGAUUAAGGUCUGGAGACUGCAGGACCUUAAUGUGCUUCUUUUUGAGCCACUCCUUUGUUGCCUUGACUGUGUGUUUUGGGUCAUCGUCAUGCUGGAAUACCCAUCCACAACCCAUUUUCAAUGCCUUGGCUGAGGGAAGGAGGUUGAUGGUACACAGCCCCGUCCAUCGUUCCUGUAAUGCAGUGAAGUUGUCGUGUCUUAGCAGAAAAACACCCCCAAAGCAUAAUGUUUCCACCUCCAUGUUCGACGGUGGGGAUGGUGUUCUUGGGGUCAUAGGCAGCAUUCCUCCUCCUCCAAACACAGUGAGUUGAGUUGAUGCCAAAGAGCUAGAUUUUGGUCUCAUCUGAUCUCCACACUUUCACCCAGUUCUCCUCUGAAUUAUUCAGAUGUUUAUUGGCAAACAUCAGACGGGCCUGUACAUAGGCUUUCUUGAGCAGGGGAACCUUAUGGGCGCUGUAGGAUUUCAGUGCUUCACGGCAUAGUGUUUUACCAAUUGUUUUCUUAGACACUAUCGUCCCAGCUGAAUUGAGAUCAUCAACAAGAUCCCCCCGUGUAGUUCUGGGCUGAUUCCUUACUGUUCUCAUGAUCAUUGAAACUCCACAAGGUGAGAUCUUGCAUGGAGCACCAGACCGAGGGAGACUGACAGUUAUUUUGUGCUUCUUCCAUUUGCGAAUAAUCGUACAAACUUUGGUCACCUUCUCACCAAACUGCAUGGUGAUGUUUUUAUAGCACAUUCCAGCCUUGUGUAAGUCUACAAUCCUGUCCCUGACAUCCUUGGACAGCUCUUUGGUCUUGGCCAUGGUGGAGCAUUUGGAAUCUGAUUGACUGAUUGCUUCUGUGGACAGGUGUCUUUUAUACAGGUAACGAGCUGAGAUUAGGAGCACUCGCUUUAAGAGAGUGCUCCUAAUCUCAGCUCGUUACCUGUAUAAAAGACACCUGGGAGCCAGAAAUCUUGCUGAUUGAUAGGGGAUCAAAUACUUAUUUCACUCAUUGACAUGAAAAUCAAUUGAUAACUUUUUAACCUGUUUUUCUGGAUUUUUUUUUUGUUAUUCUGUCUCUCACUGUUAAAAUACAUUAAAAUUAUAGACUGAUCAUUUCUUUGUCAGUGGGCAAAUGUUCAAAAUCAGCAGGGGAUCAAAUACUUUUCCCCCCUCACUGUAUGUACUGUACAGAUGAUAUUUCCCUGACCGGGAGUUUGUCUCAGCUAGGUGUAGACCAUUCAACUCAUCAUCAUCUUCCUGUUGGGAAUCUGCCUGCAUAUAAUACAUCACCAAACAUCUAUGGACAGCUGAGUGGACUGGAGACCCAUCCUGUUUAUAUCUCUAUGGAAGCUUGCAGUCAUGGUAGCCUCAAUCUAUAGUAUGGAUUGCUCUGCCAAACAUUUUUUUCCCCCAUAAUUUUCUGUUUUUCUUAAUGUUUGGCUUUGGACAACGUAUACACUUGACAAUCAAUUUGAGGGUUAUUCUCAAAACGCUGAAUUUAGUCAAAUUGAAUCCAAAGUGCAAAACAAAGGCUAAAAAGGCAAUCAGUGAGUAUCACUAAGUUAAAGAAUUACUGUGCAUGACGUAUUAUUAUUAUUAACAUUUAUAUUGCGCCAACUUAUUUGGCAGAUCUUUUAUAAUGCUGUAAGUGGGGAUUUAAUGACCCAUGUAACAAGCUAUUACAAAUCUAGAGGACGCCGCUCCAACCAAAAAGCUUACAAUCUAGAGGACAAAUGCAUCUGGGCCAUUUCGAGAUGUUCAGAGUAUAAUGUAUAAAGAUAUAUUUGCAUUAUUUAACGUUGAGUAGGUUGAAGUAAGGUUAUAUUUUAGAGAGACAAUUCUGGCAGCCAUGUUACUUCCUCACCACUGUGUCCCAUGUGUGAAGUUUCUCACAAUUAAGGAUUAGUGCUUCCUGGGACUUUUCAUUACAGACUGUUAUUGAUUAGCCUCAGAGGAGCAAGGAUUACCAUCUAAAAUCUGUCUAUUGGUUCAAUUUGCUCUAAUAUUCCCAAAGAUGAACUGCAAUUAAUCCACUUUGAAAGCAAAAAUCAAUUAAUGCAUAUUUGUACUGUGAAGCAUAUUGGAUAAUGAAUUCCUAAUAAUCUGUUUUUUUUUUAACUAUUGAUCAAAUCAGACUAAUAUAUACUGAACUCGUUUUUUUCUGUAACACAGGGGAUACUGAUGAUUAAUUGGUUUUCCCACCAGAUGGGAAAAGCCCAUGUUAAAUAAUACUUAAAAAGAUUGUAGGAGAUAAAAUAUGAAAUUAAUAUAAAAAUUCCAAAAAUGUUUGCAUUUAUAAUUAUUGCCUAUUAAAUAAUUUAAAGACAUUUAACAUGUAAUGAAUGCAUUGAAAAAUUCAAAAAAGUAAAUUCAAAAUAAUGUUAAUUUUUAUUUACGUCAAUGUUAUUAGCUGUAUUUAUUAACAUUAUCUGUAGAAUAUGAGGCGGAUGGAGGUAAUAGUUCUGCAAGUUUUUGUUGCUAACCAUUUGAUGAUAUUUAGAGUUUCAGAACAUAUACGUUAUAUAUGGAGCAUUGAAGCCAUCGGAAUCUUGUUACAGGCUGUGAAAUUCUCUAGGACAAGCAUGUUAAACUCAAAGACUAACAAGGGCCAAAUAAACAAGGCUUAAGUUAAUGUGGGCCACAAAAAAACAAAAAAUUUAAUUUUCAUAGAAACAAAGGUUUAUUUUGAAAAGUACAAUAUAAAAAAAAUUGCCUAACUGGCACUGGACGUCCUCACGUUCGUAGGGCUUCAAAGUAAACAAAAGAGCGAAUUUAUUUUAAGGAGAUAUGUAUUUGCAUAUACCCAAUGUUUCAGUCCAACUACCUUGACAUAUUAAGAAAUGUUUGGUAAUGGGAUUGAAAUGGUGAAUGUAUGCUGUUGCACAGUUGUAAAAAAACAAAAUACGUUAUCGUAUUGAUUUUGAAGUCCUAUGAGUAUGUUCUUCACUUUGGCUGAGAUCAUCAAACUUGAGAUGAUCUCAGCUAAUCCAUAGGAAAGCAUUUGAAAGCUAUUGUGCACAUGUGGCAAAAAGCUGCCUCCAUGCAGACUCAGUCUAAUACACUGCCCCCUCCUCCCAUUCUAAUACACUGCCCACACAUUUAAUACAUUGCCCCCAAAUUCAAUACACUGCCCCUCCACCAAAUCUAAUACACUGCCCCUUAAUCUAGUACACUGCCCCUCCUCUCUCCACUCUAAUUGAAUACAUUUCCCCUCCUCCCAGCACUCUAAUUUAAUACACUGCCCCCUUCCUCCCUCCCCCAAUUUAAUACACUGCCCCCUCCCUCCCCCAAUUUAAUACACUGCUCCCCCAAUUUAACACACUGCCCGCCUCCCACCACUUACACUGCCCCCUCCCUUCCCCAAACUAAUACACUACCCACCCCCCAAUAUAACAUACUGCCCACCUUCUACCACUCUAACACACUUCCCCCUCCACCACUCUACUACACUGCCCCUUCCUUCCCCAAAUUAAUACAUUUACCCUCCCCAAAUUUAACACACUACCCCUCCCCCAUUUUAACACACUGCCCCCUCCCACCACUCUACUACACUGCCCCCUUCCUUUCCCAAAUUAUUACAUUGCCCUCCCCCCAAUUUAACACACUGCCCCUUCCACCACUCUAAUACACUGCCCCCUUCCUCACUCAACUUAAUAUACUGCACUCCUCCCCAAUUUAAUUACUCUGGCCCCCUCCCUCCCCCAAAUUAUUUCAGUGCCCCCUCCCUAAAAUUAAUACACUGCCCACUCCAACCCCCAAUUUAAUGCACUGCCCCCUUAAAUUAAUGCAAUGCCCCCCUCCCCAAUUUAACACACUACACAGAAAGGUCCCCCAAACCUCUCUUCCCCUACCUUAAGACGAGUUGCCUGUUUUCCAGUUCCAGCCCUGCUCUUCUUUGCUCAAGCAGGCCUGACGCUCCUCUGACACUGCGAGCAGGAGGGAAGGGGGAGUGGCUGGCCUGCAGGAGCACACGAUCGUCUGUGGGAGGGAAGGGAGAGUGGCUGGCCUGCAGGAGCACGCGAUCGGCUGUGGGAGGGAAGGGGCAGUGGCUGGCCUGCAGGAGCACGCGAUCGGCUGUGGGAGGGAAGGGAAGUGGCUGGCCUGCAGGAGCACGCGAUCGACCGUGGGAGGGAAAGGGGAGUGGCUGGCCUGCAGGAGCACGCGAUUGUUGGGCAGGUGGGCCGUAAAUAUAUCCUUUGUGGGCUGCAAGUUUGACAUGCUUGCUCUAGGAGGUUAAUUGAGACCUAGCCUGGCACUGCACAUGUUGGUAAACUACAUUUCCCACAAUGCUUAGCCAGUAUAAAGGCUAAAGUAUAAAGAUAGUGAGAGGUACCUCAGACAUUUAUUAAAAACACUCUGGUAAGAUGCCACCAUGCCUAGACUGCAUCACUGGUGACACGUGUGGCUGUAAAGGGGGUGAUUCAUCAUAGCAUGUGCGCCGACUAGUCAAACUAAACUCAGGGUAUUCGGCCCCCAGGGAUUGGGUUUUCCCAGUGAGGCUGCCCAUCAGUGUGGUAUACACACAUACUAGGCUGGCAUUUCCCAUUUUCAGGAGACCUGCCCUUUCAUAUGGCCAAAUCACCGCCUUUCCGAAUUUUAUUCUUCUCAAUGUUGGGAGGUAUGGAGCACACUUAUAUGGGCAGACGAUAAACAAUUAGUAUUAUGGUGAACUGAUUAGUUAACCUAUUUUGGAGCCCAUAUAUGCUGAAUCUUAUUCCAUGUGUGGCUUAAUUCCCAAUGGUAUUCCGUGAGGAAUCGUUUAUACUAUCCCUUUGUGCAGCUAUGAUGCACUAGGAAAUAAGGACACCAGGUUAUGAUGUCAUAACCCAAAAGUGUUAUUAACUCACUGGAAGGAGCUUCUAGGCGUCAGAAGAAAACAUUUAUACCAUGAUUUAUACAGAUUGCUAUUUUUUCUUGUACAAAAUUGCCAUAAUGAUGAGUGCAACCAAUUACAAUCGAGAUGGGUAAUAACAUCUAAAUAUCAGCUUCCUGUGUUGUCCCGUGAGAAAUGUCCCCUCCCUCCUGGAAAAAUGCAGCACAAUUGCAUUAUUAAGUACACUACCUGCGUGAGAAUCAUGCCAAGCAGUGGCGUGAAUUGCAUCACUGGCAUGCCCCCACAAGAACCCAUUGCCACUCACACUGUGAUGUCAUUUGUCACAAUGUUGGGAAAUAAGGACACAUAAGCUAUGAUGCACUAGGAUAUAAGGACACCAGGUUAUGAUGUCAUAACCCAAAAGUGUUAUUAACUCACUGGAAGGAGCUUCUAGGCGUCAGAAGAAAACAGAUGUGUGCCAUGAUUUAUACAGAUUGCUAUUUUUUCUUGUACAAGAUUGCCAUAAUGAUGAGUGCAGCCAAUUACAAUCGAGAUGGGUAAUAACAUCUAAAUAUCAGCUUCCUGUGUUGUCCCGUGAGAAAUGUCCCCUCCCUCAUGGAAAAAUGCAGCACGAUUGCAUUAUUAAGUACACUACCUGCGUGAAAAUCAUGCCAAGCAGUGGCGUGAAUUGCAUCACUGGCAUGCCCCCACAAGAACCCAUUGCCACUCACACUGUGAUUUCAUUUGUCACAAUGUUGGGGGCUUUGAUGUAUAUGCUCCGAGCUGUGUGCAGGUUAGGGUAUUAAAAGACCACGGACCCAACCAAGUGCAUGGUAUUAAAAGCUACAUUUUAAGAAAAAGGUUUUAAAAGAAGCAAAAGUCACUUAAUGUCGAGGGGCAAAUUUGAUUAUCGGUGGCGUCCAUCUCAGUUUGAAAAAAUAUCACACUGUAAAUAUAUCAACGGGUGACCUUUCAUUUUAAAAAAUAGAAUUGUGCAAACAAUGACAGAUUUGUAGUGACCUUCAAAUCUAGUUUAUAACAGCAUAAAACACUUUUCAGUUUUUCAGUGUUGAGGUCAUUUUGGAGGAAGUGAUAGAUAAACACGAGAAUUUGCAUCCAAACUUCCAUUGUAUCUAGAGAACAACAGUCUGAUCCUAAGGAACUUUCUUGAAAGUGCUUCUAUUCUUCUGCAAAGUUGGCUCUGAGCACAGGAAAUCAUCAACAUGUUUUACUGUGAGAUAUAUACUUCAUUUUUUCCCAUCAUUUUAUUUUCUUUAAAUAAAGGACUAAAAAAAUGGCUAUUCACUAUCAUCAUCAUUCUGCUUGUUUCCCCCUACAAGUCUGCUUUUAAAAUGGCUGCUCAAUGUGUCAGCAAUGAAAAUGGUGGCGUUGCAAAGGGCAGUGCAUUCAUUAGAGUGCAGUGUCAUCACCAAUCACUGUUUUUAAUGGUAAUUGCUGUACAAAAUGGUCAGGGUACCCUGUAUCCCCUAGUCACUAAAUGUAUACACUAGGCUUAAAUGUACUCACUAGGGCCUAGUGUAUACAUUUAGGUUUAGACAGUUAGUUGAACUACAGUGAUUAGUGGAUGCUUGUUCAAUAAUAAUGUAAUCAUGGAGGCAAUGGUAUCUGAGAGGUCUUUUCACUACAUUGCAAAUUGAGGAGUUGAAAAGUGAGCUGCUAAAAACUUCCUGUCCGACUGUCCUGAGUUUGGUCUGUGAUGUCACCAGAGGAAUAUGCAUAACAAGUGCAGUGCAAGUGCAUUGUGCUGCACAAAAUGAACAAGGCAUUUGACCUGUACAUGAGCACUUCACCAGUGGUUUGCACGUGAGUAACUCUGACUGGAGUUGGACAGAAUGGCUCCUAAUAAGAAUAAGAUUAUCUCCCACAGGCCAAAAUGAGAGACUCUUCAUUGGCAGCACCUCUUCCUGGUGUGGGCAGAUCUGUCAUACCCCCUCUUAGUCCGUGAUGCUCCUCUUCCCCAAACUGAUGCCAAACCUCCUCCAUUUGAUGAAGCGUCCGUCAUUUGGCCAAUGCUGAAUGCACGUGUUUGCACUGAUGUCAUGACGUGAGACGCUUGGUUCCGCCCCAUUUUAGUAGCCCAAAUCACUUGUUAGCUAAACACAUUUAUAUAAUAAAUUGCUGAUUAGCUCAAUUGUUCCCCAACCAAUCAAAACACACUGACAUAACUUCCUUGCCCUGCCGUAGUCUUAGCAGCCCAAGAGUGCAUUAUAGUAUUCAGUGUUUUUUUCUGGUUUGACCUGGCUCUGUUAUUUCGACUGUUCUUACCUCUUGAAUCCCUGAUCUUGGCUUUGUAUACUCGAUUAUUCUACCUUCUCCUAUCCUUAACCUGUCUCCGAUUAUCCCCACUCUGAGGUCCGGUAAUUCGUACUCUAUCUUUUUAAUAAUUGCCUCUAGCUUGCAUGUUGGGGUAGUACCUUGGCAAGAUCUUAAUACUGCUGCUGCUUGCCUAAAUACUUGCAGAAAAGGCAAAAACUUUUUUUUUUUUAAAUGCUUUAUCUGUAAACUUUCAUCUUGGAGCGUCCCUUUAAUGAACCAGCACAAAAUUUAGGUUUGAAUCAUUUUGGCUUUAUUUACAAUAUACACAGUGACUAAACAUUUACAGGGAAGAGAAAAAAAUAAGGUUUAUUUUUUAAAAACGAGUGUGAAUUUAGCAGAACUGAUAGGCUCAGCCUGGAUUUCACUUGCUUAACCGAGUUGACGUGAUGCAGUCCUCACACUCGAUAUCUCACGUGUGUGUGCUGACCUUUUUUACCUUAGUUUGUAUAGUUGCUUUCCAGGAAAAAUAUAAAUAAAUGAGAACUAUUGAACAAAUAAAAAUGUCAGACAGUCACACUAAAGAGAAAGGUUUGACCUUGGUAGGGGAGGUACUGAUAUGGUUCGGAACCCUGAGUAUUAAAACCAUAUCAGUACCGUUAAAGAAAUUCCUCAGCAUCGCCUAUCAGUGAUAUAUGCAGAUAUAUCAAACAACUACAAAAUACCUAAAAAAAUAAUAAUAAAACAUUACAUUUUUAUUGUAUCUCUGACCAGUUUGCUUGCUUACAAACUUAACGAGACCGCUACAUUAGAUCUUGGUUCCCAUUUUGCAGACAAUAUUGUUUCUAAAAAAACCUGUAAUUAAAGGGUCAUUCUAGGCACCAUACUUUGAAUCAUUAAAUUGUUUAUGGGGAAGAGAGUACAUUGCAAUAAAAAAAAUCACAGCAGAUAUAAGAGUACCCACUGGUUCUGUACAGUUAAAGGAGACAUUAUUCGCUUUUGCUGUCUAAGAUUAAUCGAAUGUGUGGGUACACCAUGCACGCACAACUAGGACAAAAAUCUCUCAUCACCCCUGGAGAGAAUCUUAGCAACCUUCAUGAUAACAAACGUAGCAUGGCCACCUGCUUAUUGAAUGGAUCUGCAACUGGGGGAUAAUCGAGGUAUUCCAUACAAAAACCAACAGAAUAAGAGGCUUCUGAUUGAUGGAACCUCUUCCUGAUCUUAGAGUAGUGUGUCAGAAUCAGUGUUUAUCUGUAAAUGUGCUGGUUAUUUAAAUGUUUUUGUUUUUUUACAUAAUUUUUGGUGUAUUAUCAAAAUGAUACAUUCAAAAUGUGGGGUUACUUUCUUCCUUCUGUGUCCCCGUAAAUGACAAAAUAAUGAAAAUAUGAAUAAAAUUUAUAUUUACUAUACAACGUGCUUCUUGUGCAAAUAGUCUGAUUUUAUUUCUCUGUUUUAGGUGCCCCAGACAGUCCUUGAGUUUCUGUUUAAAACCAGUGGUUAAAGGGUUGUUCAUAUGUACUAAUUUUAUGCAUGUGUACUUACUUGUAUACAUGUACAGUGCUUCCCAUUUGAAUAGGAGCCUCUUUCUUCUGUAUAGCAAAUGCUGGGUGGAAUGGUUCCUAUUGGGUCAAUGGAAUGGGUAAUGAAAAUGUAUGAGUAAUAUUUUCAAUGGAGAAAAACUGCACUAGAAAGAGUAUUUCCACGUAAGUGUAUCUGUACUAUACAGGGCUUUGCAGGCUGUUAUUGCAGCUUGCAAAAUAACUCAUUGUAGUGUACUCAAUAUGCUCAGAGGCAGAGAAGGAGUGGCAUGGGCAAGUAAGUGCCUACUUGGGGGCCCCUAUCUGUAUAAGUGCUGCUGUGCUUGGCAGUUUGUGGCCCUUGCCUAACUGUAGGCUCGCAAGCGUACUACUGUGUGCUUUUUAUGGACGUUCCCGCUCUUCUCAGAGACCACCUCUCUUCUCCCCAAUCCCUAAAGUAGUCCCUUAAUAUGUAAUAUGAGAUGAAGGAAGGGGUGCUAUUUCGAAUUCCUCUGCAAAAAUGUAGAAAGACAAAGCAAGCCGUGGCUUAAAUAUGUAUUUCUCUGCAGAGUGAAAACCAGCAGUGGAGCAGAAGGAAGUAGACUUUAAAUGUAGCUUCAUAAGAUAAGUAUAAUUUUUGCAAUUCUG
This is a non-coding RNA of Pelobates cultripes (western spadefoot toad), 43836 nucleotides long. The record is from the annotation of a GenBank genome assembly. NCBI's taxonomy places the organism in Eukaryota, Metazoa, Chordata, Amphibia, Anura, Pelobatidae.